GACGAACGCUGGCGGCGUGCCUAAUACAUGCAAGUAGAACGCUGAAGAGAGGAGCUUACUCUUCUUGGAUGAGUUGCGAACGGGUGAGUAACGCGUAGGUAACCUGCCUUGUAGCGGGGGAUAACUAUUGGAAACGAUAGCUAAUACCGCAUAACAAUGGAUGACACAUGUCAUUUAUUUGAAAGGGGCAAUUGCUCCACUACAAGAUGGACCUGCGUUGUAUUAGCUAGUAGGUGAGGUAAUGGCUCACCUAGGCGACGAUACAUAGCCGACCUGAGAGGGUGAUCGGCCACACUGGGACUGAGACACGGCCCAGACUCCCACGGGAGGCAGCAGUAGGGAAUCUUCGGCAAUGGGGGCAACCCUGACCGAGCAACGCCGCGUGAGUGAAGAAGGUUUUCGGAUCGUAAAGCUCUGUUGUAAGUCAAGAACGGGUGUGAGAGUGGAAAGUUCACACUGUGACGGUAGCUUACCAGAAAGGGACGGCUAACUACGUG
RNAcentral lists this ribosomal RNA (497 nucleotides) under uncultured bacterium. Its description in RNAcentral is "partial 16S ribosomal RNA". It matches the Rfam family "Bacterial small subunit ribosomal RNA", at positions 28 to 507 of the family's 1533-position model. The record is from RNAcentral.